This 88-nucleotide transfer RNA is filed under the name Ornithinicoccus hortensis. RNAcentral describes it as "tRNA-Ser". It matches the Rfam family "tRNA". From Rfam's summary of the family: Transfer RNA (tRNA) molecules are approximately 80 nucleotides in length. RNAcentral also lists the same sequence under 6 other names. Lineage: Bacteria; Bacillati; Actinomycetota; Actinomycetes; Micrococcales; Intrasporangiaceae. The record is from RNAcentral.
GGAGGAUUCGCAUAGCGGCCUAGUGCGCACGAUUGGAAAUCGUGUUGGGAUAAAACCCUCGGGGGUUCAAAUCCCCCAUCCUCCGCCA